This 449-nucleotide ribosomal RNA is filed under the name Neisseria sp. oral taxon 014. RNAcentral describes it as "bacterial SSU rRNA". It matches the Rfam family "Bacterial small subunit ribosomal RNA", at positions 30 to 467 of the family's 1533-position model. Lineage: Bacteria; Pseudomonadati; Pseudomonadota; Betaproteobacteria; Neisseriales; Neisseriaceae. The record is from RNAcentral.
AUUGAACGCUGGCGGCAUGCUUUACACAUGCAAGUCGGACGGCAGCGGGGUAGUGCUUGCACUACUGCCGGCGAGUGGCGAACGGGUGAGUAACAUAUCGGAACGUACCGAGCAGUGGGGGAUAACUAAUCGAAAGAUUAGCUAAUACCGCAUAUAUUCUGAGGAAGAAAGCAGGGGACCUUUGGGCCUUGCGCUGUUUGAGCGGCCGAUAUCUGAUUAGCUGGUUGGUGGGGUAAAGGCCUACCAAGGCGACGAUCAGUAGCGGGUCUGAGAGGAUGAUCCGCCACACUGGGACUGAGACACGGCCCAGACUCCUACGGGAGGCAGCAGUGGGGAAUUUUGGACAAUGGGGGCAACCCUGAUCCAGCCAUGCCGCGUGUCUGAAGAAGGCCUUCGGGUUGUAAAGGACUUUUGUCCGGGAAGAAAAGCGCGAUGUUAAUACCAUUGCG